UGCAACCUCGCAUUGAGAGACCUUUCUCUGA
This 31-nucleotide non-coding RNA is filed under the name Mus musculus (house mouse). The record is from RNAcentral. Lineage: Eukaryota; Metazoa; Chordata; Mammalia; Rodentia; Muridae. RNAcentral also lists the same sequence under 1 other name.